This 480-nucleotide ribosomal RNA is filed under the name bacterium mbm10. RNAcentral describes it as "bacterial SSU rRNA". It matches the Rfam family "Bacterial small subunit ribosomal RNA", at positions 19 to 497 of the family's 1533-position model. The record is from RNAcentral.
ACUGCUCAGGAUGAACGCUAGCGGCAGGCCUAAUACAUGCAAGUCGAACGGACCUUGAUUCUUCGGAAUCUUGGUUAGUGGCGCACGGGUGCGUAACGCGUAUGCAACCUACCUUCCACUGGGGGAUAGCCCACCGAAAGGUGGAUUAAUACCGCAUAACACAACAGCCUGGCAUCAUGCAAUUGUUAAAGCUUUGGCGGUGGAAGAUGGGCAUGCGUGCCAUUAGCUAGUUGGCGGGGUAAAGGCCCACCAAGGCGACGAUGGCUAGGGGUUCUGAGAGGAUGGUCCCCCACACUGGUACUGAGACACGGACCAGACUCCUACGGGAGGCAGCAGUAGGGAAUAUUGGGCAAUGGCCGAGAGGCUGACCCAGCCAUGCCGCGUGCAGGAAGAAGGCCUUCUGGGUUGUAAACUGCUUUUAUCUGGGAAGAAAACGCUCCUGCGGGGGUAACUGACGGUACCAGAUGAAUAAGCACCGGC